This 468-nucleotide ribosomal RNA is filed under the name uncultured bacterium. RNAcentral's name for it is "partial 16S ribosomal RNA". It matches the Rfam family "Bacterial small subunit ribosomal RNA", at positions 28 to 507 of the family's 1533-position model. The record is from RNAcentral.
GACGAACGCUGGCGGCGUGCUUAACACAUGCAAGUCGAACGGAAAGGCCCUGCUUUUGUGGGGUGCUCGAGUGGCGAACGGGUGAGUAGCACGUGAGUAACCUGCCCUUGACUUUGGGAUAACUUCAGGAAACUGGGGCUAAUACCGGAUAGGAGCUCCUGCUGCAUGGUGGGGGUUGGAAAGUUUCGGCGGUUGGGGAUGGACUCGCGGCUUAUCAGCUUGUUGGUGGGGUAGUGGCUUACCAAGGCUUUGACGGGUAGCCGGCCUGAGAGGGUGACCGGCCACAUUGGGACUGAGAUACGGCCCAGGCUCCUACGGGAGGCAGCAGUGGGGAAUAUUGCACAAUGGGCGGAAGCCUGAUGCAGCAACGCCGCGUGCGGGAUGACGGCCUUCGGGUUGUAAACCGCUUUCGCCUGUGACGAAGCGUGAGUGACGGUAAUGGGUAAAGAAGCACCGGCUAACUACGUG